UACGUAGGGUGCGAGCGUUAAUCGGAAUUACUGGGCGUAAAGCGUGCGCAGGCGGUUCGUUGUGUCGGUGGUGAAAGCCCCCGGCUCAACUGGGGAGGGUCACGCGAUACUGAUCGACUCGAAGGCAGGAGAGGGUAGUGGAAUUCCCGGUGUAGUGGUGAAAUGCGCAGAUAUCGGGAGGAACACCGGUGGCGAAGGCGGUUCUCUGGGCCUGUACUGACGCUGAGGCGCGAAAGCUAGGGGAGCAAACGGG
This 253-nucleotide ribosomal RNA is filed under the name uncultured bacterium. RNAcentral describes it as "partial 16S ribosomal RNA". It matches the Rfam family "Bacterial small subunit ribosomal RNA", at positions 524 to 776 of the family's 1533-position model. The record is from RNAcentral.